AUUGAACGCUGGCGGCAGGCCUAACACAUGCAAGUCGAGCGGAUGAAGGGAGCUUGCUCCUGGAUUCAGCGGCGGACGGGUGAGUAAUGCCUAGGAAUCUGCCUGGUAGUGGGGGAUAACGUCCGGAAACGGGCGCUAAUACCGCAUACGUCCUGAGGGAGAAAGUGGGGGAUCUUCGGACCUCACGCUAUCAGAUGAGCCUAGGUCGGAUUAGCUAGUUGGUGGGGUAAAGGCCUACCAAGGCGACGAUCCGUAACUGGUCUGAGAGGAUGAUCAGUCACACUGGAACUGAGACACGGUCCAGACUCCUACGGGAGGCAGCAGUGGGGAAUAUUGGACAAUGGGCGAAAGCCUGAUCCAGCCAUGCCGCGUGUGUGAAGAAGGUCUUCGGAUUGUAAAGCUCUGUUAUUUGGGAAGAAGGGCAGUGAGUGAAUACAGUGCUGUUUUGGAGUUUACAAUAGAAUAAACGCCGGCUUACUUCGUG
This 484-nucleotide ribosomal RNA is filed under the name uncultured bacterium. RNAcentral's name for it is "partial 16S ribosomal RNA". It matches the Rfam family "Bacterial small subunit ribosomal RNA", at positions 30 to 507 of the family's 1533-position model. The record is from RNAcentral.